RNAcentral lists this microRNA precursor (204 nucleotides) under Oryza nivara. Its description in RNAcentral is "MIR812 microRNA precursor family". It matches the Rfam family "MIR812 microRNA precursor family". Lineage: Eukaryota; Viridiplantae; Streptophyta; Magnoliopsida; Poales; Poaceae. The record is from Rfam by way of RNAcentral.
AAUAGAUAACGCCGUUGACUUUUUCUCACAUGUUUGACCAUUCGUCUUAUUCAAAAAAUUUACGUAAUUAUAAUUUAUUUUGUUAUGAGUUGUUUUAUCACUCAUAGUACUUUAAGUGUGAUUAAUAUCUUAUACAUUUGCAUAAAAUUUUUGAAUAAGACGAAUAGUCAAACAUGUGAGAAAAAAUCAACAGCGUCAUCUAUU